RNAcentral lists this ribosomal RNA (253 nucleotides) under uncultured bacterium. RNAcentral describes it as "partial 16S ribosomal RNA". It matches the Rfam family "Bacterial small subunit ribosomal RNA", at positions 524 to 776 of the family's 1533-position model. The record is from RNAcentral.
CACGUAGGGGACGAGCGUUGUCCGGAUUCAUUGGGCGUAAAGCGUCCGCAGGUGGCUAUGUAAGUCUGCUGUUAAAGAGUGAGGCUCAACCUCAUAAGAGCAGUGGAAACUACAUAGCUAGAGUGCGUUCGGGGCAGAGGGAAUUCCUGGUGUAGCGGUGAAAUGCGUAGAUAUCAGGAAGAACACCGGUGGCGAAAGCGCUCUGCUAGGCCGCAACUGACACUGAGGGACGAAAGCUAGGGGAGCGAAUGGG